UUUGAACGCUGGCGGCAGGCUUAACACAUGCAAGUCGAGCGGGGUGAUGGUGCUUGCACUAUCACUUAGCGGCGGACGGGUGAGUAAUGCUUAGGAAUCUGCCUAUUAGUGGGGGACAACAUCUCGAAAGGGAUGCUAAUACCGCAUACGUCCUACGGGAGAAAGCAGGGGAUCACUUGUGUCCUUGCGCUAAUAGAUGAGCCUAAGUCGGAUUAGCUAGUUGGUGGGGUAAAGGCCUACCAAGGCGACGAUCUGUAGCGGGUCUGAGAGGAUGAUCCGCCACACUGGGACUGAGACACGGCCCAGACUCCUACGGGAGGCAGCAGUGGGGAAUAUUGGACAAUGGGGGGAACCCUGAUCCAGCCAUGCCGCGUGUGUGAAGAAGGCCUUAUGGUUGUAAAGCACUUUAAGCGAGGAGGAGGCUCUUUUGGUUAAUACCCAAGAUGAGUGGACGUUACUCGCAGAAUAAGCACCGGCUAACUACGUGCCAGCCGCCGCCGUAA
This 503-nucleotide ribosomal RNA is filed under the name uncultured bacterium. Its description in RNAcentral is "partial 16S ribosomal RNA". It matches the Rfam family "Bacterial small subunit ribosomal RNA", at positions 30 to 523 of the family's 1533-position model. The record is from RNAcentral.